Molecule: ribosomal RNA, 400 nt
Filed under: fungal endophyte sp. UFMGCB_914
Lineage: Eukaryota; Fungi
Description: eukaryotic LSU rRNA
Rfam family: Eukaryotic large subunit ribosomal RNA (bases 242-400)
Source: RNAcentral
UUCAUCGAAAUCUUUAGAAGCGCAAUUUGGCGCCCCAUUAGUAUUCUAGUGGGCAUUGCCUGUUCGAGGCGUCUAUUUCAAACCCUUAAGCCUCUGUGGCUUUAGUGUUUGGGAGCCUACAGUCCGCUGUAGCUCCCUAAAGUUAGUGGCGGAGUCGGUUCACACUCUAGACGUAGUAAAUUUUUAUCUCGCCUAUAGAUGGACCGGCGUCCUGCCGUAAAACCCCCUAAUUUCUCAAGGUUGACCUCGGAUCAGGUAGGAAUACCCGCUGAACUUAAGCAUAUCAAUAAGCGGAGGAAAAGAAACCAACAGGGAUUGCCCUAGUAACGGCGAGUGAAGCGGCAACAGCUCAAAUUUGAAUCUGGCCUUCGGGUCCGAGUUGUAAUUUGUAGAGGAUGCU